UGCAGGGGAAGACUGGGAAUUCCUGGUGUAGCGGUGAAAUGCGCAGAUAUCAGGAGGAACACCGGUGGCGAAGGCGGGUCUCUGGGCAGUAACUGACGCUGAGGAACGAAAGCGUGGGUAGCGAACAGGAUUAGAUACCCUGGUAGUCCACGCCGUAAACGGUGGGCGCUAGGUGUGGGUUCCUUCCACGGAAUCCGUGCCGUAGCUAACGCAUUAAGCGCCCCGCCUGGGGAGUACGGCCGCAAGGCUAAAACUCAAAGGAAUUGACGGGGGCCCGCACAAGCGGNCGGAGCAUGAUCAGCAGCUUCCA
RNAcentral lists this ribosomal RNA (310 nucleotides) under Rhodococcus sp. (in: high G+C Gram-positive bacteria). RNAcentral's name for it is "bacterial SSU rRNA". It matches the Rfam family "Bacterial small subunit ribosomal RNA", at positions 650 to 955 of the family's 1533-position model. The record is from RNAcentral. Lineage: Bacteria; Bacillati; Actinomycetota; Actinomycetes; Mycobacteriales; Nocardiaceae.